RNAcentral lists this transfer RNA (66 nucleotides) under Emeia pseudosauteri. RNAcentral's name for it is "tRNA-Asn". The record is from RNAcentral. Lineage: Eukaryota; Metazoa; Arthropoda; Insecta; Coleoptera; Lampyridae.
UUAAAUGAAACCAAAUAGAGGUAUAUUACUGUUAAUAAUAUAAUUGUAAAAUUUUUACCAUUUAAA